Molecule: small nuclear RNA, 107 nt
Filed under: Octopus vulgaris (common octopus)
Lineage: Eukaryota; Metazoa; Mollusca; Cephalopoda; Octopoda; Octopodidae
Also listed under: 1 other name
Source: RNAcentral
GUACUAACUACGGCGGUACAUGUUCUAAAAUUGGAACGAUAUAGAGAAGAUUAGCAUGGCCUCUGCGCAAGGAUGACAUGCAAAUUCGUGAAGCGUUCCAUAUUUUU